GCAGUAGUUGUCCAGUGGUUAAGAUGCGGCCCUGCCACGGCCGAGACCCGGGUUCGACUCCCGGCUACUGCA
RNAcentral lists this transfer RNA (72 nucleotides) under Candidatus Pacearchaeota archaeon ex4484_26. RNAcentral's name for it is "tRNA-Gly". It matches the Rfam family "tRNA". Rfam says of the family: Transfer RNA (tRNA) molecules are approximately 80 nucleotides in length. Lineage: Archaea; Nanobdellati. RNAcentral also lists the same sequence under 1 other name. The record is from RNAcentral.